GGCGGCGGUAGUGGAGUGGCCGGUGGGUGCUCUGGUUUAUUGUUUCCGCCACAUGAAGGGCCGCAAAAUCAUGGCUCAUCCUGCCACCGUGGUCUACCCUUCAGUCACUAAUGCUAUUCCAAUUUAAGUUGACACUUCUUACACCUUUUCCCUCCUUCACUCACUUUUAUGUCUCAUGUAUGAUAUGAAUAAAAUCAUGAAUCUAUGUUGUUUUUCUUUUUCUCCGAUAAAAAUA
RNAcentral lists this long non-coding RNA (235 nucleotides) under Arachis ipaensis. Its description in RNAcentral is "long non-coding RNA (AIPA_LNC000106)". The record is from RNAcentral. Lineage: Eukaryota; Viridiplantae; Streptophyta; Magnoliopsida; Fabales; Fabaceae.